RNAcentral lists this ribosomal RNA (527 nucleotides) under Porphyromonas gingivalis. RNAcentral's name for it is "bacterial SSU rRNA". It matches the Rfam family "Bacterial small subunit ribosomal RNA", at positions 252 to 776 of the family's 1533-position model. Lineage: Bacteria; Pseudomonadati; Bacteroidota; Bacteroidia; Bacteroidales; Porphyromonadaceae. The record is from RNAcentral.
GUGAGGUAACGGCUCACCAAGGCGACGAUGGGUAGGGGAACUGAGAGGUUUAUCCCCCACACUGGUACUGAGACACGGACCAGACUCCUACGGGAGGCAGCAGUGAGGAAUAUUGGUCAAUGGGCGAGAGCCUGAACCAGCCAAGUCGCGUGAAGGAAGACCGUCCUAAGGAUUGUAAACUUCUUUUAUACGGGAAUAACGGGCGAUACGAGUAUUGCAUUGAAUGUACCGUAAGAAUAAGCAUCGGCUAACUCCGUGCCAGCAGCCGCGGUAAUACGGAGGAUGCGAGCGUUAUCCGGAUUUAUUGGGUUUAAAGGGUGCGUAGGUUGUUCGGUAAGUCAGCGGUGAAACCUGAGCGCUCAACGUUCAGCCUGCCGUUGAAACUGCCGGGCUUGAGUUCAGUGGCGGCAGGCGGAAUUCGUGGUGUAGCGGUGAAAUGCAUAGAUAUCACGAGGAACUCCGAUUGCGAAGGCAGCUUGCCAUACUGCGACUGACACUGAAGCACGAAGGCGUGGGUAUCAAACAGG